AAAGUCGUAACAAGGUAUCCGUAGGUGAACCUGCGGAUGGAUCAUUAACAGUAUUUUAUACUACAACAACACCUGUGAACUGUAAUGGGCGGUUUAUCCCUCAUUUUUAUUAUAUUUUAGACUGAAUAACAUGAUAUAUAACAUUUAUAAAACUUUUAGCAACGGAUCUCUGGGCUCUC
This 179-nucleotide unclassified non-coding RNA is filed under the name Ascomycota sp. RNAcentral's name for it is "partial contains small subunit ribosomal RNA, internal transcribed spacer 1, and 5.8S ribosomal RNA". The stretch from base 1 to 47 matches the Rfam family "Eukaryotic small subunit ribosomal RNA", at positions 1785 to 1831 of the family's 1831-position model. The record is from RNAcentral. Lineage: Eukaryota; Fungi; Ascomycota.